CCUGCAUCCAAAUGUCAACACUACAUAAAACAUACCACCAUAUUCAAAAACCACACUACAGAAAAAUGCAUGCCUGCAUUCAAAUGCCAAUACGUACAAACACACCUGUACGUUCACUCACACAUACUCCAUACGAAAACAUGCUUACAUUCAAACACUGCUCGGUGCUAAAUACAUUUUAAGCUGGGGGGUGGGUGCCAAAUAUAGGAUCCGCCCCGGUUGCCAAAUGCUCCAGGUACGCCCCUGUAGAGGGAGUCUGAUCAGUGUGAUUGACACAG
This is a non-coding RNA of Pelobates cultripes (western spadefoot toad), 278 nucleotides long. NCBI's taxonomy places the organism in Eukaryota, Metazoa, Chordata, Amphibia, Anura, Pelobatidae. The record is from the annotation of a GenBank genome assembly.